Molecule: unclassified non-coding RNA, 300 nt
Filed under: uncultured fungus
Lineage: Eukaryota; Fungi
Description: sequence contains 5.8S rRNA gene, ITS2
Rfam family: 5.8S ribosomal RNA (bases 1-71)
Source: RNAcentral
GUGAGUCAUCGAAUCUUUGAACGCAUAUUGCGCCCACGGCCUCGGCUAAGGGCAUGCCUGUCUCAGCGUCCGCUCACCCCCUCGUCCUCCCUUUCGAUUUCGAAAGCGGUUUGGACGGAUGUGGCCGUCUCGCUCGCCCUCUUUCGAGGGAGAGCGGGUCGGCUGAAGCUCAGGGCUCGCGGCGGGACCCCAAUCGAUCGGGGCGCCAGCAUGGUAGGUGGCUCACGCUCACAUAUCGGCUGUCGUCUCCCACAUCACCGGGCGCUCCGCCUGUUGCCACAGCAGGAAAAACCAAUCAAA